RNAcentral lists this ribosomal RNA (449 nucleotides) under uncultured bacterium. RNAcentral's name for it is "partial 16S ribosomal RNA". It matches the Rfam family "Bacterial small subunit ribosomal RNA", at positions 29 to 523 of the family's 1533-position model. The record is from RNAcentral.
AGCGAACGCUGGCGGCAGGCCUAACACAUGCAAGUCGAACGGAUCCCUCGGGAUUAGUGGCGGACGGGUGAGUAACACGUGGGAACGUGCCCUUUGGUUCGGAACAACUCAGGGAAACUUGAGCUAAUACCGGACGUGCCCUUCGGGGGAAAGAUUUAUCGCCAUUGGAGCGGCCCGCGUCUGAUUAGCUAGUUGGUGAGGUAAAGGCUCACCAAGGCGACGAUCAGUAGCUGGUCUGAGAGGAUGAUCAGCGACAUUGGGACUGAGACACGGCCCAAACUCCUACGGGAGGCAGCAGUGGGGAAUCUUGCGCAAUGGGCGAAAGCCUGACGCAGCCAUGCCGCGUGAAUGAUGAAGGUCUUAGGAUUGUAAAAUUCUUUCACCGGGGACGAUAAUGACGGUACCCGGAGAAGAAGCCCCGGCUAACUUCGUGCCAGCAGCCGCCGUAA